CUUGCUACUAUCUAGAUCUACUCUAGUUUAGAGAAGAGAGGAGAGCUCUCAUCUCCAAACCCUAGCUUUUGCUUUGUCUAUGAAUAAUGAAUAAUGAUCAAGGGGUGCCUCCUCCAGGGGCCAGGGGGUCUGGUUAUAUAGUCCCCUCAAGUGAACCUGGGCCGUUGGAUCAAACCGACAUUGAUUGAACGGUUAUUCUUGAUCCUUUAGGUCGGUGGAGAUCUCCUGAGAAACAGAGUCCUGUUUGGACUCCAACAGAGGGCGGGCGCCCAGGGCAGGAGGGCGGGCGCCCUGCCUCUGGCCCCGUUCGGCCUCCGCUUCCUUCCCGUGGCUUCUGGAGUCUUCUAGAUGUAAGAUAAUUGCGUGGCACGUUAAUAUCUCUUUGUAAUCCCGACGUGUGGGCCUUUCUUCCGUAUUUCCUGAUAACCCCCUGCAGAAAUAGACAAACACCAAAACUUGUGGAAUUCUGUCAGAUAAAAUCCUAAGUCUAGAUGUUGAUUUCAUUUGGAUCCUUUUCUUUGUUUAUUUAAUAAUUAAAUUUGAUACUUAAAGACCGUCAACAAACUCCCAAGCUUACCUCUUGCUCGUCCCUGAGCAAGGAUAGACUCAGCAAUGGAUCAGAAGUUGUUGCAAUAUCUUAAAAAUUUGACGGUACAUAUGCUUUUAAAUAAGAUCUCAUCUCUGAGUUAGAGUAAACUGUCAAGAAAUAAAACUUACUUACUUUACCUUUCACCAUGGGACUUGUAACCGUCACUUCUGUCUUGAGUAGUUAAAAGAUAGAACAGUCUAGCCAAGUGUCAUGUCUCUUAUUCUUGAUCAGCUAUAGCUCUAGAGUUUUUGCAGAUUUUCAAAUAAAACUCAAAGAUUCCUUGUAUGACACUCUAAAUCUCUCUUUUGUGGUAUUUCUGGAUCCUUACCAAGGUAGUGAUGGUAUAUGCCUUCUCUCAAGAUAUGUGGUAUUUGUGGUAUAAGGCAUAGUGACAUUGCCUUCUCUCUCACCCUACUCUAAUAAGGCUUUAAUAUCUGGAGCUCAUAGGUGGGAGAUAAAAUAUACAUACUUACAAGACAUUUAUUGUAUAGUCAAACCAUGGAUCCAAAGAAACAAAUCAAUAAGCCAAAUCAAGAUGUGCAUGUGUGGUGAAUGAAUGGUGUAUGGUGAUGAUGGUGAUAACAAUGGAGAAAGUCUAAUUCUACUUUUGCUCUUUUGAGGGGAUACAUACCUUUCUUGCUUUUUGAAACUUUAUGAGGAGAAUGAGAUGCUCUUCUUUUUCUUUCCUCUCAGGUGGGUAUCUUGUACCCCUAAUUCUACUGUCGGACACUUGUCCAUUUUUACCUCUCGUCUCACUUUUUCUUUCUUUCGAGGUUCCGGGCACUUGCACCUUUUUAUUUCCUCGUUUAUUUUUAUUUAUUUUUUUUCUUCUCUUUUCUUUUUUUUCAGAGCACUCAUCUCUUGAGAUAAUAUAGCAAGUGGUAGUAGCAAGAUAACUUGAGCAUUUAUUUCACAAGGGAAAACAGAAAUAUUUUUGGCUAUUCUCUCCCGGAUUAAGAGUAGAAUAUUUUUGGGUGGUUCUGGAGAUGGACAUGGAUGGAUAUAUGUGGAUGGUACUUCCGGAGUAGAAGUAGCAUAUAUGAGUGAACGUGCAAGUGAAUCUUGAUUUAACCACAUGACAAGCUCCUAAGGGUCUACACAGCUUGACCACAGUCAAUGCUCAUAAGCAGUAAAUAGUAAAUGUGUGGCUCAAAGUCUAGCAAGCAUGUAUAUAUGGCUGUGGUAGGAAUUUAAACUCUCAUCAUAUAGGAACUCAUCAUGCAAUAUUUUAAAGAUUUUUCAAAGAUAAAAUUCUCUAGAAUUCUAGCAUCUCUAGGAACAGAUAAACAGCAGCUCAACCUUCCCAUAUCAUAUCCGUUAACAACUUAGAUUUCAGAUCAAGUUUUCAUCCCACAAGUUUAGAUCUAGAGCAAGCUUUAAAUUAUAACAGUUAUGUCUAAACUUGAGAGAGAACUUCAAAUUUGCAAAUUAGGCAGAGCAACUAUUCAUCAUAUCCAUGCUAGAGUUUUAUUAUUAAGAUUCAGAUUAGCAUAGCUAUUUUAUUUAUUUAUUAAACACACUAAGCAAAAGAUAUAUAUAUAAGCACAAAAUCUUUAUUUGGUUUUUCAUAGUUUAUGUAUUUUAAUAUUCUAACAUAAUAUAAGUAUAAAGAUAGGUAGAAAUACUUAGCGAGAUAAAUGGGGGUGCUCUCCCCCAAGCUGAAUUUUGACGUAAUUUCUCUUGAUGUAGCUAGCAGAUGGCAGAGGUAUAUUUGAAAGUCAGCAGCAUUCUGACAGCGAUUAGAAUGCCCUCCAUCUGCUAGUCUUCUUGAUUCUUAAAUUAUGUGGAGCUCAAAUAGACAACAAAGCUUGUGGAACUAAUUAAGUGUUAGCAUAAAUAUCUAGCCUUCAUCAUGUUGAGCUUCCUCAAUAAAUAUUACUCCAUGUUUUUAUAUUUUUUAUUUUAUAAAGCAGAAAAGAAAUAUUUAUUUUAUUUUUAUGCCACCACAGUGAAGGUACUCAUGGGUUUUAUGCCACUCGUAUACUCACAUGGGGCUUAGUAUUUUUUUAACAUUUUUAUUUUCUUUUCAAGAUAGCAUGAUUAACUAAUAAUCUAUUUAAGGAAAGUAAAUAAUUAAAGGGAAAAGGGAAUGCAGAAAGGAUAAAUAUGGAUAACUACCGAUCUUACCUUUCGGCGAGGGUUCAAUGUUUUAAGUCUUCUUAACAAGACUUCUCACCGUGUUCAUUCUUCAGGUGCGUCAUUUGAUUCAGGUGCAGACCUUGACAUCUGCACCUCUUCGUUUGCCCAGCAGUUCGAAGUGCGGCGUUGGCAGUAUCCUGCUCAGUAUAUUUGUGCUCGUAGAUCCAGGUCCUUCACUUGGUAGAGUAUGAGAGUUAUAAAACUCCUCCGUGUUUUGCUCGAAGUGUACCUUGCUUGAAGAGUGAUGGUACAAUAUCACCUUGUGGAAGCUUUCCUUUCUUAGCGGUUGUGCAUCGUGUUUGUGGCACCCUCCAUGGAUCAUCUCUCUAUGAUGAAUGAGCUAUGUCCUUCUUGUGCAAAUUGUUAAACUUCAUGUGUCACUCUCUUCGUCUCUGAUGUGAGUUUAUCUCAGGACUUCCCAAAUCGAUAUUGAAAGUUUUACUGCAGGGGUUAGUCCGACAAAAAUAUACCAAUGUCUACACAAGCAGUUUUUAAUUCAAUAACCGAACUAGACUCCAUGUGUAAUCAGAUUAAGGAAGGCUGUUUAACCUAAGCACCAUGCUUAAUUUAAAAUCCAAUAGAAGUAUGUGCAGUACUUCCAAACUAACAGUUACUAGUAAAUAGACAAAGGUAACAUGACAGCAUUUAUAGAGAUCUACUCAAGUGGAGAUGAAGUAGUGUGAUUAGUAUUUAACAAAUUGAGCAUGUCUUAAAGGUAGGGACAACCAACAUAGCAACAUGGCAAAGGAUGUAAAGUACUCCCCCAAGCUUGAAUUUUGCAGAAUUCAAGUUUGGAUGAAUUUAAUUCAGUGUUGCAUGA
RNAcentral lists this long non-coding RNA (3548 nucleotides) under Sorghum bicolor (sorghum). RNAcentral's name for it is "long non-coding RNA (SBIC_LNC007074)". The record is from RNAcentral. Lineage: Eukaryota; Viridiplantae; Streptophyta; Magnoliopsida; Poales; Poaceae.